AUGCCCCGAUCUCAGUUUCUCCAGUACGAUAAUUCUAACAUUACAGACUUCGUCAGAUACCUUGCCUGCCGUGAGAUAGUCAACACUGGCCUGAUCCAGUUCAAUGACCAACCAGAAAGCUACAGAGCCUGGCAACGCUCUUUUUGCAAUGCAGCCAGCAGCUUGAACUUGACACCUAGUGAAGAAAUGGAUCUGCAAGUCAAAUGGCUGGGGAAGGAGUCAACCGAACAUGCUAAAUGCAUGAGGUCAGUACAUAUUAACCAACCUCAUAAGGGUCUCAAAAUGAUAUGGGACAGACUGGAAGAGUGUUAUAGUGCUCCAGAAGUAAUAGAAAGUGCACUGUUUAGACGUGUCAAUAGUUUUCCUAAAAUUUCGAGCAGGGAUUACUCUAAGCUCCAUGAAUUGGGAGACCUCCUUAUGGAAGUGGAGUCAGCUAAAGCAGAUGGGGACCUUCCAGGGCUGUCAUACCUUGAUACAGCCUGGGGCAUCAACCCUAUAGUCCAAAAAGUACCAUUCAAUUUACAAGAGGAGUGGCUAUCAUAUGGUUCCAGCUAUAAAGAGACAUAUCGUGUCCCUUUCCCCCCUUUUUCAGCUUUAGUUGGCUUCAUCUGUCAGCAAGCUAGAAUAAGAAAUGACCCAGGACAAGGAGAGCCACCUCCUAAAGCAGACAAAGGCAUUUGGAAAACAAGUAGACAGAAAGAAAUCUCAGUUUACAAGACUGACUUGUCUCCUGCUCCCAGCAGCAAAGAAAGACAAGAAAAGAAAACUGAAGAUGCUCAAAGACUAUGUCCUAUUCACAAGAGGCCCCACUUGCUCCGAAAAUGCCGUGCCUUGAAGGAAAAGGGCAUCUGUUUCAAAUGCUGCUUAGGCACAUCACACACAGCUAAGAUCUGUAAAUAUAAUGUCACAUGCUCAGAGCAUGGAAGUGAGAAACAUAUUUCUGCACUACAUCCAGGCCCACCACCAAAAGCUCAGGAACCUAACCCUUCACCAAAGUAUGGUGGGGAGGAAGACCCCAUGCUAACAUCAGAAGUGGCAGCUCAUUACACUGAAGUUUGUGGAGGUGAUCUUAGCAGCAGAUCUUGCUCAAAGAUCUGUUCAGUUAACAUCUUUCCCAAUGGCCAUCGUGACAAAGCACUCAAGGUCUAUGUGGUCCCUGACGAGCAAAGCAACAAGUCAUUAGCUCGCUCUGAGUUUUUUGACACAUUCAAGGAAAAAGGCCGAGUUUCUUCAUAUACCCUCAAAACCUGUUCUGGAGUAACAGAGAUACUUGGAAGAAAAGCUUUUGGCUACCAAAUUGAGUCAAUAGAUGGGAAAGUGAGAAUCCCCUUACCAAGUCUACUAGAGUGCAACAACAUCCUUAACAACAGAGCAGAAAUUCCCACACCUACUGCUGCUCGCUAG
Molecule: long non-coding RNA, 1404 nt
Filed under: Scleropages formosus (Asian bonytongue)
Lineage: Eukaryota; Metazoa; Chordata; Actinopteri; Osteoglossiformes; Osteoglossidae
Description: lncRNA (ENSSFOG00015029699.1)
Source: RNAcentral